RNAcentral lists this ribosomal RNA (566 nucleotides) under Alternaria tenuissima. RNAcentral describes it as "eukaryotic LSU rRNA". The stretch from base 194 to 347 matches the Rfam family "5.8S ribosomal RNA". The record is from RNAcentral. Lineage: Eukaryota; Fungi; Ascomycota; Dothideomycetes; Pleosporales; Pleosporaceae.
CGUAGGGUAACCUGCGGAGGGAUCAUUACACAAAUAUGAAGGCGGGCUGGAACCUCUCGGGGUUACAGCCUUGCUGAAUUAUUCACCCUUGUCUUUUGCGUACUUCUUGUUUCCUUGGUGGGUUCGCCCACCACUAGGACAAACAUAAACCUUUUGUAAUUGCAAUCAGCGUCAGUAACAAAUUAAUAAUUACAACUUUCAACAACGGAUCUCUUGGUUCUGGCAUCGAUGAAGAACGCAGCGAAAUGCGAUAAGUAGUGUGAAUUGCAGAAUUCAGUGAAUCAUCGAAUCUUUGAACGCACAUUGCGCCCUUUGGUAUUCCAAAGGGCAUGCCUGUUCGAGCGUCAUUUGUACCCUCAAGCUUUGCUUGGUGUUGGGCGUCUUGUCUCUAGCUUUGCUGGAGACUCGCCUUAAAGUAAUUGGCAGCCGGCCUACUGGUUUCGGAGCGCAGCACAAGUCGCACUCUCUAUCAGCAAAGGUCUAGCAUCCAUUAAGCCUUUUUUUCAACUUUUGACCUCGGAUCAGGUAGGGAUACCCGCUGAACUUAAGCAUAUCAAUAAGCCGGA